This 253-nucleotide ribosomal RNA is filed under the name uncultured bacterium. RNAcentral describes it as "partial 16S ribosomal RNA". It matches the Rfam family "Bacterial small subunit ribosomal RNA", at positions 524 to 776 of the family's 1533-position model. The record is from RNAcentral.
UACGGAGGAGGCAAGCGUUAUCCGGAAUUACUGGGCGUAAAGCGCGCGCAGGCGGUCCUUUAAGUCAGGGGUGAAAGCCCAGAGCUCAACUCUGGAACGGCCUUUGAAACUAGAGGACUUGGGUACGGGAGAGGUGAGUGGAAUUCCGAGUGUAGAGGUGAAAUUCGUAGAUAUUCGGAAGAACACCAGUGGCGAAGGCGGCUCACUGGCCCGUUACCGACGCUCAGGCGCGACAGCGUGGGGAGCAAACAGG